This 72-nucleotide transfer RNA is filed under the name Candidatus Methanophagaceae archaeon ex4572_4. RNAcentral describes it as "ANME-1 cluster archaeon ex4572_4 tRNA-Thr". It matches the Rfam family "tRNA". Rfam says of the family: Transfer RNA (tRNA) molecules are approximately 80 nucleotides in length. Their secondary structure includes four short double-helical elements and three loops (D, anti-codon, and T loops). The record is from RNAcentral. Lineage: Archaea; Methanobacteriati; Methanobacteriota; Methanomicrobia; Candidatus Methanophagales; Candidatus Methanophagaceae. RNAcentral also lists the same sequence under 4 other names.
GCCGCUGUGGCUUAGAGGUAAAGCGGCUGAUUCGUAAUCAGCAGAGCGUGGGUUCAAGUCCCACCAGCGGCU